RNAcentral lists this ribosomal RNA (305 nucleotides) under uncultured bacterium. Its description in RNAcentral is "bacterial SSU rRNA". It matches the Rfam family "Bacterial small subunit ribosomal RNA", at positions 333 to 636 of the family's 1533-position model. The record is from RNAcentral.
UUACUCCUACGGGGGGCAGCAGUGAGGAAUAUUGGUCAAUGGGAGGAAUCCUGAACCAGCCAUGCCGCGUGCAGGACGACGGCUCUACGAGUUGUAAACUGCUUUUGUACCGGGGUAAAAUGCCUUACGAGUAGGGUUUUGAAAGUACGGUACGAAUAAGGAUCGGCUAACUCCGUGCCAGCACCCGCGGUAAUACGGAGGAUCCGAGCGUUAUCCGGAAUGAUUGGGCGUAAAGGGUGCGUAGGCGGUCGAUUAAGUCUGGAGUGAAAGGUACCGGCUCAACCGGUAUAGGCUCCGGAAACUGA